GGCCCCGUCGUCUAGCGGCCCAGGACGCCGCCCUCUCAAGGCGGUAGCGCGGGUUCAAAUCCCGUCGGGGCUA
RNAcentral lists this transfer RNA (73 nucleotides) under Pseudonocardia sp. RNAcentral describes it as "tRNA-Glu". It matches the Rfam family "tRNA". Rfam says of the family: Transfer RNA (tRNA) molecules are approximately 80 nucleotides in length. Their secondary structure includes four short double-helical elements and three loops (D, anti-codon, and T loops). The record is from RNAcentral. RNAcentral also lists the same sequence under 5 other names. Lineage: Bacteria; Bacillati; Actinomycetota; Actinomycetes; Pseudonocardiales; Pseudonocardiaceae.